UAACCUGUUUUGUAAUUGAUGGUCCACGUUUUAUCUUACCUUACCUUGAAGCGCCUAGGAGAUAGUAGGUGAGUCAGCUUGUAUACCGUCGCCGGUAGAUCACCCUUGAGGGGCGUAAAGUGGUCGGGAAGAGAGGGGAGAGCAUAGACUGAUGUACUGUGUUUUAAUAGUGAUUGAUGGCUGUGCUCAUUGCGUUGUGUUGUCUGAAAGGGCUACGUGGACGUUUGGCUUCUCAGGAUGUCAGAUCAAGGUGCAGCCCAUAAUAAAGUAAUGAUGGGUU
Molecule: ribosomal RNA, 280 nt
Filed under: Haliotis asinina
Lineage: Eukaryota; Metazoa; Mollusca; Gastropoda; Lepetellida; Haliotidae
Description: partial 12S ribosomal RNA
Source: RNAcentral